Molecule: long non-coding RNA, 1368 nt
Organism: Eriocheir sinensis (Chinese mitten crab)
Lineage: Eukaryota; Metazoa; Arthropoda; Malacostraca; Decapoda; Varunidae
Exons: 4
Source: RefSeq, a predicted model, not a curated record
GUCAAAUAGUAGUGUCAGGAAAUCGAGUAGAGGUAAUAAGUGAGCAGUCGUAGGCUCAGAGCGGUGACUCUGCCAAGGCCUUGUAUCCUGGAGGCAGCCUCAGAUCCACUCUAGUACAUAACUUGAAUUCUAUGGAAAGUACUGCUUUGACAGUUCACCAAGUGGCCACGUGUGGCACUGCCUGUAUAGCCAAUACGGUCCAUUCUGCAUGUUUUCAUAUAUAAUACAUGAUGAUUAUGUUGAUUGUAUGGCUGAAAACUUGUUAUAUUCAAUAGCGACAUUUGAAAUUUGGCGCGCGUGGCGAUCCCGGAUAUGGCACGGGGCACUGUUUUGGCCUGGCCGUAGUGAAGGGGUUAAGAGUGAAGAUACAGGCCAACUCUUGCAUUAAUAAGUUGGACAGCACAAGACAGCUGAUAGGUCCAGGCACCCAACAGGAACAAAAAACACCAUGACUCUUGCAUUAAUAAGUUGGACAGCACAAGACAGCUGAUAGGUCCAGGCACCCAACAGGAACAAAAAACACCAUGACUCUUGCAUUAAUAAGUUGGACAGCACAAGACAGCUGAUAGGUCCCAGCACCCAACAGGAACAAAAAACACCAUGACUCUUGCAUUAAUAAGUUGGACAGCACAAGACAGCUGAUAGGUCCAGGCACCCAACAGGAACAAAAAACACCAUGACUCUUGCAUUAAUAAGUUGGACAGCACAAGACAGCUGAUAGGUCCUGGCACUCAACAGGAACAAAAAACACCAUGACUCUUGCAUUAAUAAGUUGGACAGCACAAGACAGCUGAUAGGUCCAGGCACCCAACAGGAACAAAAAACACCAUGACUCUUGCAUUAAUAAGUUGGACAGCACAAGACAGCUGAUAGGUCCAGGCACCCAACAGGAACAAAAAACACCAUGACUCUUGCAUUAAUAAGUUGGACAGCACAAGACAGCUGAUAGGUCCUGGCACUCAACAGGAACAAAAAACACCAUGACUCUUGCAUUAAUAAGUUGGACAGCACAAGACAGCUGAUAGGUCCAGGCACCCAACAGGAACAAAAAACACCAUGACUCUUGCAUUAAUAAGUUGGACAGCACAAGACAGCUGAUAGGUCCAGCACCCAACAGGAACAAAAAACACCAUGACUCUUGCAUUAAUAAGUUGGACAGCACAAGACAGCUGAUAGGUCCAGCACCCAACAGGAACAAAAAACACCAUGACUCUUGCAUUAAUAAGUUGGACAGCACAAGACAGCUGAUAGGUCCAGGCACCCAACAGGAACAAAAAACACCAUGACUCUUGCAUUAAUAAGUUGGACAGCACAAGACAGCUGAUAGGUCCCGGCACCCAACAGGAACAAAAAACACCAUGACUCUUG